RNAcentral lists this ribosomal RNA (425 nucleotides) under uncultured rumen bacterium. RNAcentral's name for it is "bacterial SSU rRNA". It matches the Rfam family "Bacterial small subunit ribosomal RNA", at positions 354 to 776 of the family's 1533-position model. The record is from RNAcentral.
GUGGGGAAUAUUGGUCAAUGGGCGAGAGCCUGAACCAGCCAAGUAGCGUGCAGGAUGACGGCCCUAUGGGUUGUAAACUGCUUUUAUCAGGGGAUAAAGUGAGGGACGUGUCCCUUUUUGUAGGUACCUGAUGAAUAAGGACCGGCUAAUUCCGUGCCAGCAGCCGCGGUAAUACGGAAGGUCCGGGCGUUAUCCGGAUUUAUUGGGUUUAAAGGGAGCGCAGGCGGGCUUUUAAGCGUGACGUGAAAUGUAGUUGCUCAACAUCUGCACUGCGUCGCGAACUGGAGGCCUUGAGUGCAUUCGACGCUGGCGGAAUUCGUGGUGUAGCGGUGAAAUGCUUAGAUAUCACGAAGAACUCCGAUUGCGAAGGCAGCCGGCGAGACUGUAACUGACGCUAAAGCUCGAAAGUGCGGGUAUCGAACAGG